This 301-nucleotide ribosomal RNA is filed under the name uncultured bacterium. Its description in RNAcentral is "partial 16S ribosomal RNA". It matches the Rfam family "Bacterial small subunit ribosomal RNA", at positions 509 to 809 of the family's 1533-position model. The record is from RNAcentral.
CAGCCGCCGCGGGAAUACGUAGGUGGCAAGCGUUAUCCGGAAUUAUUGGGCGUAAAGCGCGCGUAGGCGGUUUUUUAAGUCUGAUGUGAAAGCCCACGGCUCAACCGUGGAGGGUCAUUGGAAACUGGAAAACUUGAGUGCAGAAGAGGAAAGUGGAAUUCCAUGUGUAGCGGUGAAAUGCGCAGAGAUAUGGAGGAACACCAGUGGCGAAGGCGGCUUUCUGGUCUGCAACUGACGCUGAUGUGCGAAAGCGUGGGGAUCAAACAGGAUUAGAUACCCCAGUAGUCCCUGUCUCUUAUAA